CAGCAGCCACGGGAACACGUAGGGUGCGAGCGUUGUCCGGAAUUAUUGGGCGUAAAGAGCUUGUAGGCGGUCUGUCGCGUCUGCUGUGAAAACCCGAGGCUCAACCUCGGGCCUGCAGUGGGUACGGGCAGACUAGAGUGCGGUAGGGGAGAACGGAACUCCUGGUGUAGCGGUGGAAUGCGCAGAUAUCAGGAAGAACACCGAUGGCGAAGGCAGUUCUCUGGGCCGUAACUGACGCUGAGAAGCGAAAGCGUGGGGAGCGAACAGGAUUAGAUACCCGGGUAGUCCCUGUCUCUUAUAC
Molecule: ribosomal RNA, 301 nt
Filed under: uncultured bacterium
Lineage: Bacteria
Description: partial 16S ribosomal RNA
Rfam family: Bacterial small subunit ribosomal RNA
Source: RNAcentral